UGUGGUGUGGCUCAGUGGUGGAGCACUCGCCUAGCAUGUGCGGGACCCGGGUUUUAUCCUUAGCACCACAU
Molecule: transfer RNA, 71 nt
Filed under: Marmota monax (woodchuck)
Lineage: Eukaryota; Metazoa; Chordata; Mammalia; Rodentia; Sciuridae
Rfam family: tRNA
About the family: Transfer RNA (tRNA) molecules are approximately 80 nucleotides in length. Their secondary structure includes four short double-helical elements and three loops (D, anti-codon, and T loops). Further hydrogen bonds mediate the characteristic L-shaped molecular structure. tRNAs have two regions of fundamental functional importance: the anti-codon, which is responsible for specific mRNA codon recognition, and the 3' end, to which the tRNAs corresponding amino acid is attached (by aminoacyl-tRNA synthetases). tRNAs cope with the degeneracy of the genetic code in two manners: having more than one tRNA (with a specific anti-codon) for a particular amino acid; and 'wobble' base-pairing, i.e. permitting non-standard base-pairing at the 3rd anti-codon position.
Source: Rfam by way of RNAcentral